GUACCAAAAAAAAUAUCACUCUUCACUUCUCUGAGUAAAUCCACCACAAAAUAUUGUCAAGUGCCAAACUACGAAGCAUCCACCACCCAUGUUGUAUCAGUGCAAGCCCAUCAUCUGAACAACUCCCUUUAGUCCACUCAAAAUGAAGUGAGGACAAUCCAUUUAGCAUUUUGCGCAUUCUCCGGUCAUCGACUUAUUGGAAGUAUUAUGUGGGAACGACUCACUCGACCUCAAAAAGUGUCCACUUCGCUAAAGCGUGAGAGCACUCUCCCAUCAAAGCUGAAGGAUAAAGUGGUGAGAGACACCUCAUCAGAGGGACCAGUGGAAGAGGGCCUCUGUACACUAAAAUAUUUGGGACUUAAACAUACGGAAAAAAAAUACUACCACAAGAACAGGGCUCAUCUUUUUAAAUUUUUUUAAGGGUUAUGUUACUGGGUUGGUGGACAAGGAGACAAAAGAUGGAACGGGAGAGGAUGGCCUAACCGUUAUCAAACUUGUGUAGUUCUUUAAAUACGUUGUUACAUGUUUAGCAAGAGACCAAUACACAUUUCCUAAGCACAGGCAUGUUCAACUAAGUGUUGCUUACAUACUUUAACAAAUUUAUAUUUUCCAUGUGUCCAGAAGCUUUUUUUCUAUUAUUUCUUUCUGGUUACAUCUACAACCCAAAUCAAAGAUCAGCCCUUAAACUUUAUGUUUUCAUGUCGAUAAUUCUUUACAGAUGAAAAGAUGUCAAAGAAAUUUUUUACUGACCCAACAAGUCUACCAAUUGUUGUAAAAGAAGCUGUCUUUGCCCUUAGAGAUGCCGACGGUACCUCAUGGCCAUCCAGGGACAAAGUCAGGAAAAAAUAUUUCAGCCGAAGCCACUACCAAGCAUGUGUUGAGAUAUUGAAAAAGAGAUGGCAAAGAUUUAGUCCGUAACUAAUCAAUAAUCUCAAAGAAUAAAUUAAAAUUCUUCAUGUUGGAUGUU
RNAcentral lists this long non-coding RNA (967 nucleotides) under Elaeis guineensis (African oil palm). RNAcentral describes it as "long non-coding RNA (EGUI_LNC074724)". Lineage: Eukaryota; Viridiplantae; Streptophyta; Magnoliopsida; Arecales; Arecaceae. The record is from RNAcentral.